GCGUAUGCAACCUACCUUCCACAGGGGGAUAGCCCGUCGAAAGACGGAUUAAUACCGCAUAAGACCACGACCUGGCAUCAGGAUGUGCUCAAAGCUGAGGCGGUGGAAGAUGGGCAUGCGUGCCAUUAGCUAGUUGGCGGGGUAGAGGCCCACCAAGGCGACGAUGGCUAGGGGUUCUGAGAGGAUGGUCCCCCACACUGGUACUGAG
This 208-nucleotide ribosomal RNA is filed under the name Chaetoceros affinis. RNAcentral describes it as "partial Bacterial small subunit ribosomal RNA". It matches the Rfam family "Bacterial small subunit ribosomal RNA", at positions 115 to 323 of the family's 1533-position model. The record is from RNAcentral. Lineage: Eukaryota; Bacillariophyta; Thalassiosirophyceae; Chaetocerotales; Chaetocerotaceae.